GUGGGGAAUAUUGGACAAUGGGCGAAAGCCUGAUCCAGCCAUGCCGCGUGUGUGAAGAAGUUCUUCGGAUUGUAAAGCACUUUAAGUUGGGAGGAAGGGCAGUAAGUUAAUACCUUGCUGUUUUGACGUUACCGACAGAAUAAGCACCGGCUAACUUCGUGCCAGCAGCCGCGGUAAUACGUAGGGUGCAAGCGUUAAUCGGAAUUACUGGGCGUAAAGCGCGCGUAGGUGGUUUUGUUAGUUGGAGGUGAAAUCCCCGGGCUCAACCUGGGAACUGCCUCAACAACUGCAUGACUAGAGUACGGUAGAGGGUAGUGGAAUUUCCUGUGUAGCGGUGAAAUGCGUAGAUAUAGGAAGGAACACCAGUGGCGAAGGCAACUACCUAGACUGAGACUGACACUGAGGUGCGAAAGAGUGGGGUGCAAACAGGAUUAGAUGCCCUAGUAGUCC
RNAcentral lists this ribosomal RNA (450 nucleotides) under uncultured bacterium. RNAcentral's name for it is "partial 16S ribosomal RNA". It matches the Rfam family "Bacterial small subunit ribosomal RNA", at positions 354 to 796 of the family's 1533-position model. The record is from RNAcentral.